Long non-coding RNA from Stegodyphus dumicola, 395 nucleotides. The record is from RefSeq and is a predicted model, not a curated record. NCBI's taxonomy places the organism in Eukaryota, Metazoa, Arthropoda, Arachnida, Araneae, Eresidae.
UCUAGUGGUUCUAAAUCUAUCGGUAUUACCUUCGGAAUUUCAACUAGAAUACAGGUGAAGUCUCUGUGGAACUACGUGCUCGCACAAGGAACUUGCCUCAGAAUUCAGACAAGAGAAGCGGACUGUGCCAUUGACCUCUCUAGCAAUACCAACCGUCUUUACAAUGAUUCCAAGAGAUAGUUUUAAGAAAAACGUCAGUUGGGUUGAUUGACCAAUGGGCAUCUGCAGUGAGAGAUGAAGAUAGUUUAGUUAUUUCUCUCCGAGGUUGCUAACUUUAUCAGAAUCGAAAUAAAUAUCAAGCUGUAGUAGAAAUAAUGAAGUUUGUACUUAUUUAUCUAAAAAAGUAUGUAUUUUUAUUUAUGCAUAAGAAAAAUUUAAUAAGUAAGGGAAAGAGA